Molecule: long non-coding RNA, 233 nt
Filed under: Linum usitatissimum (flax)
Lineage: Eukaryota; Viridiplantae; Streptophyta; Magnoliopsida; Malpighiales; Linaceae
Description: long non-coding RNA (LUSI_LNC000389)
Source: RNAcentral
CUGUCACAUAUAAUAUAUAAGAAAUUAUAUCGUAAAUGAAAACGGUACAAGUGAAAGAAAGAGCAACUAGAAGAUCAGAAAAUUCUAUUCUAUAGGCACCAAAUGAAGUUAUUGAAGAAGCCGCAACGAUCCAAAGAGUUUUCUCUUGAUUCUCUGAUGAACAAAGGAACUUAUUUCUUGAGAAAACAACUGCUAGAGCUGCAACUUUUCUGGUUCAGAACAACAUCAAAGUU